This is a long non-coding RNA of Lingula anatina, 387 nucleotides long. NCBI's taxonomy places the organism in Eukaryota, Metazoa, Brachiopoda, Lingulata, Lingulida, Lingulidae. The record is from RefSeq and is a predicted model, not a curated record.
CGUACAUGUAGUUCAGCGUAGCGGAAACACUCACACGUUAUGAAGGACCAGAUAUAUUUACAAAUUUCCAUAAAGUUCACACACACAGUUUGACAGUUGUUGUACAGUGUCAUGUGUCUCCGUAGUGGCCUGCUUGAUGUGGUCAGUUUGGGAUGAAAUUUAUUGGACCUAAAGUGGAGUAGUGACAUGACUUCCCUCAGGUCACCCAUUUCCAAGAUGGGAACAAACUGAUUGCAGAGUACCCUCACCAUGAAAAAGCUGAAAAAGCAGGCAGUGAAAGAUACCACCAAGAGCAGCACUGUGUCUUCUCCAUGUGUACAAUACAUGAUAUUUGGCAAGAUUUACCUGUUGAGUAUUGUGAUAACAACAACCCCUUCCAGAAAGGAG